GAUGAAGAACGUAGCGAAAUGCGAUAAGUAAUGUGAAUUGCAGAAUUCAGUGAAUCAUCGAAUCUUUGAACGCACAUUGCGCCCCUUGGUAUUCCGAGGGGCAUGCCUGUUCGAGCGUCAUUAUAACCCCUCAAGCUCAGCUUGGUGUUGGGGCCUGCUGCACUGGCAGCCCUUAAAAUCAGUGGCGGCGCCAUCUGGCUCUAAGCGUAGUAAUUCUUCUCGCUAUGGAGUCCUGGUGGAUGCUUGCCAUCAACCCCCAAUUUUUCUAUGGUUGACCUCGGAUCAGGUAGGAAGACCCGCUGAACUUAAGCAUAUCAAUAAGCGGAGGA
RNAcentral lists this unclassified non-coding RNA (329 nucleotides) under soil metagenome. RNAcentral's name for it is "partial contains 5.8S ribosomal RNA, internal transcribed spacer 2, and large subunit ribosomal RNA". The stretch from base 1 to 120 matches the Rfam family "5.8S ribosomal RNA", at positions 35 to 154 of the family's 154-position model. The record is from RNAcentral.